CCUUUUGUAUAAUGGGUCAGCGACUUAUAUUCUGUAGCAAGGUUAACCGAAUAGGGGAGCCGAAGGGAAACCGAGUCUUAACUGGGCGUUAAGUUGCAGGGUAUAGACCCGAAACCCGGUGAUCUAGCCAUGGGCAGGUUGAAGGUUGGGUAACACUAACUGGAGGACCGAACCGACUAAUGUUGAAAAAUUAGCGGAUGACUUGUGGCUGGGGGUGAAAGGCCAAUCAAACCGGGAGAUAGCUGGUUCUCCCCGAAAGCUAUUUAGGUAGCGCCUCGUGAAUUCAUCUCCGGGGGUAGAGCACUGUUUCGGCAAGGGGGUCAUCCCGACUUACCAACCCGAUGCAAACUGCGAAUACCGGAGAAUGUUAUCACGGGAGACACACGGCGGGUGCUAACGUCCGUCGUGAAGAGGGAAACAACCCAGACCGCCAGCUAAGGUCCCAAAGUCAUGGUUAAGUGGGAAACGAUGUGGGAAGGCCCAGACAGCCAGGAUGUUGGCUUAGAAGCAGCCAUCAUUUAAAGAAAGCGUAAUAGCUCACUGGUCGAGUCGGCCUGCGCGGAAGAUGUAACGGGGCUAAACCAUGCACCGAAGCUGCGGCAGCGACGCUUAUGCGUUGUUGGGUAGGGGAGCGUUCUGUAAGCCUGUGAAGGUGUACUGUGAGGUAUGCUGGAGGUAUCAGAAGUGCGAAUGCUGACAUAAGUAACGAUAAAGCGGGUGAAAAGCCCGCUCGCCGGAAGACCAAGGGUUCCUGUCCAACGUUAAUCGGGGCAGGGUGAGUCGACCCCUAAGGCGAGGCCGAAAGGCGUAGUCGAUGGGAAACAGGUUAAUAUUCCUGUACUUGGUGUUACUGCGAAGGGGGGACGGAGAAGGCUAUGUUGGCCGGGCGACGGUUGUCCCGGUUUAAGCGUGUAGGCUGGUUUUCCAGGCAAAUCCGGAAAAUCAAGGCUGAGGCGUGAUGACGAGGCACUACGGUGCUGAAGCAACAAAUGCCCUGCUUCCAGGAAAAGCCUCUAAGCAUCAGGUAACAUCAAAUCGUAUCCCAAACCGACACAGGUGGUCAGGUAGAGAAUACCAAGGCGCUUGAGAGAACUCGGGUGAAGGAACUAGGCAAAAUGGUGCCGUAACUUCGGGAGAAGGCACGCUGAUAUGUAGGUGAAGUCCCUCGCGGAUGGAGCUGAAAUCAGUCGAAGAUACCAGCUGGCUGCAACUGUUUAUUAAAAACACAGCACUGUGCAAACACGAAAGUGGACGUAUACGGUGUGA
Molecule: ribosomal RNA, 1266 nt
Filed under: Escherichia coli
Lineage: Bacteria; Pseudomonadati; Pseudomonadota; Gammaproteobacteria; Enterobacterales; Enterobacteriaceae
Description: partial 23S ribosomal RNA
Rfam family: Bacterial large subunit ribosomal RNA
Source: RNAcentral